CAGUCGAACGAAACUUCUUUAUCACCGAGUGCUUGCACUCACCGAUAAAGAGUUGAGUGGCGAACGGGUGAGUAACACGUGGGCAACCUGCCCAAAAGAGGGGGAUAACACUUGGAAACAGGUGCUAAUACCGCAUAACCAUAGUUACCGCAUGGUAACUAUGUAAAAGGUGGCUAUGCUACCGCUUUUGGAUGGGCCCGCGGCGCAUUAGCUAGUUGGUGGGGUAAAGGCUUACCAAGGCAAUGAUGCGUAGCCGAACUGAGAGGUUGAUCGGCCACAUUGGGACUGAGACACGGCCCAAACUCCUACGGGAGGCAGCAGUAGGGAAUCUUCCACAAUGGGCGAAAGCCUGAUGGAGCAACGCCGCGUGGGUGAAGAAGGUCUUCGGAUCGUAAAACCCUGUUGUUAGAGAAGAAAGUGCGUGAGAGUAACUGUUCACGUUUCGACGGUAUCUAACCAGAAAGCCACGGCUAACUACGUGCCAGCAGCCGCGGUAAUACGUAGGUGGCAAGCGUUAUCCGGAUUUAUUGGGCGUAAAGGGAACGCAGGCGGUCUUUUAAGUCUGAUGUGAAAGCCUUCGGCUUAACCGGAGUAGUGCAUUGGAAACUGGGAGACUUGAGUGCAGAAGAGGAGAGUGGAACUCCAUGUGUAGCGGUGAAAUGCGUAGAUAUAUGGAAGAACACCAGUGGCGAAAGCGGCUCUCUGGUCUGUAACUGACGCUGAGGUUCGAAAGCGUGGGUAGCAAACAGGAUUAGAUACCCUGGUAGUCCACGCCGUAAACGAUGAAUGCUA
Molecule: ribosomal RNA, 792 nt
Filed under: uncultured bacterium
Lineage: Bacteria
Description: bacterial SSU rRNA
Rfam family: Bacterial small subunit ribosomal RNA
Source: RNAcentral